AGCUCUCAGGCCUUUUGGCUAAGACCAAGUGUAAUAUCUGUUCUUAUCAGUUUAAUAUCUCAUCACAUGGAGGGAACCACAUAUUAAAUAGAUUUUAGGAACAAGGAGCCGGAAGUGGGGCUUGUCCUGUCCACUCCAUGCAUCGACCCGGUAUUGCAGGUUCACCUCUACUUAGGGGGCAGUGUGU
Small nuclear RNA from Brienomyrus brachyistius, 187 nucleotides. RefSeq annotates it as U2 spliceosomal RNA. The transcript has a single exon. The record is from RefSeq and is a predicted model, not a curated record. NCBI's taxonomy places the organism in Eukaryota, Metazoa, Chordata, Actinopteri, Osteoglossiformes, Mormyridae.